UACGUAGGGUGCAAGCGUUAAUCGGAAUUACUGGGCGUAAAGGGUGCGUAGGCGGUUCAGCAAGCAAGAUGUGAAAUCCCUGGGCUUAACCUAGGAACUGCAUUUUGAACUGUUGGACUAGAGUGUGUCAGAGGGGGGUGGAAUUCCACGUGUAGCAGUGAAAUGCGUAGAGAUGUGGAGGAACACCGAUGGCGAAGGCAGCCCCCUGGGAUAACACUGACGCUGAGGCACGAAAGCGUGGGUAGCAAACAGG
Molecule: ribosomal RNA, 253 nt
Filed under: uncultured bacterium
Lineage: Bacteria
Description: partial 16S ribosomal RNA
Rfam family: Bacterial small subunit ribosomal RNA
Source: RNAcentral